AUACGGAGGGUGCAAGCGUUGUUCGGAAUCACUGGGCGUAAAGGGCGCGCAGGCGGUUUUACGAGUCAGAUGUGAAAGCCCACGGCUCAACCGUGGAAGUGCAUUUGAAACUGUAAGACUUGAGUAUCAGAGGGGAAGGUGGAAUUCCCGGUGUAGAGGUGAAAUUCGUAGAUAUCGGGAGGAAUACCGGUGGCGAAGGCGACUUUCUGGCUGAAUACUGACGCUGAGGCGCGAAAGCGUGGGGAGCAAACAGGAUUAGAAACCCUGGUAGUCC
RNAcentral lists this ribosomal RNA (274 nucleotides) under uncultured bacterium. Its description in RNAcentral is "partial 16S ribosomal RNA". It matches the Rfam family "Bacterial small subunit ribosomal RNA", at positions 523 to 796 of the family's 1533-position model. The record is from RNAcentral.